CUACGGGAGGCAGCAGUGGGGAAUCUUGCACAAUGGGGGAAACCCUGAUGCAGCGACGCCGCGUGAACGAUGAAGCCCUUCGGGGUGUAAAGUUCUUUCGACGGGGACGAUAAUGACGGUACCCGGAGAAGAAGCUGCGGCUAACUACGUGCCAGCAGCCGCGGUAAUACGUAGGCAGCAAGCGUUGUUCGGAAUUACUGGGCGUAAAGAGUGCGUAGGCGGUUAACUAAGUUUGGUGUGAAAUCUCCCGGCUUAACUGGGAGGGUGCGCCGAAAACUGGCUAGCUAGAGUGUGGGAGAGGAUAGUGGAAUUCCUGGUGUAGCGGUGAAAUGCGUAGAUAUCAGGAGGAACACCUGCGGUGUAGACGGCUAUCUGGACCAUGACUGACGCUGAGGCACGAAAGCGUGGGUAGCAAACAGGAUUAGAUACCCUAGUAGUCCC
This 441-nucleotide ribosomal RNA is filed under the name uncultured bacterium. RNAcentral's name for it is "bacterial SSU rRNA". It matches the Rfam family "Bacterial small subunit ribosomal RNA", at positions 339 to 797 of the family's 1533-position model. The record is from RNAcentral.